GUUUCCCUUGCGGGCGGCGCGUUUGCUCUCUCCUACGGUCGCUUGUCCCUUGCCGCUUGCGGCGGCCAUCCCCCAACAGCGGAACCUCCUUCCCUGUCCUCCCCGAAUCCUAUUUCCUUGUGAUAGCAGUCGGCGUCGAGGUUCGGCGCCACCGUUGUCACUGUGGAGGAAGAGAAGCCUGCAAGCCGUCGAGCCACCAGCUGGGGAAGGCGCCCGCCCGCGCCACCGGCUAGGAGGCGCCUGUCCGCGCACCCGUCACGCCGACGAGCCGCCUGCGCCCCUGUGAACCGGGAGCCGCCAGGUUCGGCGGCACCGACCGUGAGGAGUUCCGUGCCUCGAUCGAUCGACGGGGCUAGGUUCGUCGGUGGCGGCGACAACUACGGCGUCACCACCGAGCAGGCCAAGGGUGGCGCGGUGAUCCCUUCCCUUCGAUCCGACUUGUUGUGAUCGACUCCACUGAGGCAGGGCAGCUCGUGCUAUCUCAUUGUUUGUGUCAGAGACAGCCUGCAAUUUUGUAUCUGGUUUAAUGCACCAUAAGUUAGACCUUAUGCAUACCUAUGAAUUUCAAUUAAAAAAGGAUCAAUACUCCGUACAUGAUUUUACAUUACAUCUUGGCAAGCAAAGACGACAUCCUACCCAUUUGGACAUCAUGCAAUUUGUUGAGGAUCUCUGUAUGGCUAUUCUUUAGUGAAUAUUCAGAGAAAGAUAUAACUAAGUGUAUGCAGCUUAAUGAUAUGAGACUUUUCUGAUAUAUCAGUCAAUCAGUGUAUUCCAAUUUUAACAAUAAUAUUGUACCACAAUAAACUGUUAUACCGCUAGAUUAAUUAGCCCAUGUCUUUGCUUGCUCAGCAACCUGGCGGGGCAGACUUGUUCAGCUGUUAUGACGGUCAAAUGAGGGAGCCAGUUCGCAGUAGAAGCUGACUAGAUGGUAUUUGAUUUUCAAGAGUCGACCACCAAGUUGUCAUAAAUUGAUUACUUACAGCAAUUUCUGAAUCUUGCAUUGCACAUUUGAAGAUGUCCUGGUGUAUGUACCUCAGUUGGGGAUGCCUUGCAUCCAUUUUUUUUGCAAUGACCAUCGCAAACAUUAACAUGGUUGCCUUUGUAUGCAGCUGCUAGACACUUUCUUAAAGACAUGCAAGCUUAUUGCAGAUUCCAGAAGUAAACACGGUAUGGUGAGAUCUCCCUUGAUAGCUACUGCUCCUCAUGGGCUUAUCCAUGUUGCACGCCUGCAGUUGCAGAUCAAGUGAAGGAUUCUAUUUAACAAAGGUUUCAGAAUUCAGAUUCUGAUUUGCUGUAUAUCUUAGUACCAAGUGAACCAACAGCUUCCUUGCUGAUAUUAUGCAAUGCAAGUGGUAGUUGUUUCUGUCUGCAAUGAUGGCCAGAAAUCUGAAAUCACAUGCAGGACAGAAGAUAUGUACAGAUGGCAUUGUGCUUGGUUAGAGAAUAGGGUUGUUACUUGUUUGGAAAAAGUCUACAUCACCCCUGAACUAUGGGGUGGUGUCUACUUUAACCCACGAACUAUGAAACAGUCUAA
RNAcentral lists this long non-coding RNA (1534 nucleotides) under Sorghum bicolor (sorghum). RNAcentral's name for it is "long non-coding RNA (SBIC_LNC002309)". Lineage: Eukaryota; Viridiplantae; Streptophyta; Magnoliopsida; Poales; Poaceae. The record is from RNAcentral.